GACGAACGCUGGCGGCGUGCUUAACACAUGCAAGUCGAGCGGUAAGGCCCUUUCGGGGGUACACGAGCGGCGAACGGGUGAGUAACACGUGGGUGACCUGCCCUUAGCUCUGGGAUAAGCCUGGGAAACUGGGUCUAAUACCGGAUAUGACUCCAUGACGCAUGUUGUGGGGUGGAAAGCCUUGUGCGGCUAGGGAUGGGCCCGCGGCCUAUCAGCUUGUUGGUGGGGUGAUGGCCACCAAGGCGACGACGGGUAGCCGGCCUGAGAGGGCGACCGGCCACACUGGGACUGAGACACGGCCCAGACUCCUACGGGAGGCAGCAGUGGGGAAUCUUGCGCAAUGCGCGAAAGCGUGACGCAGCAACGCCGCGUGGGGAAGAAGGCC
RNAcentral lists this ribosomal RNA (385 nucleotides) under uncultured bacterium. RNAcentral describes it as "bacterial SSU rRNA". It matches the Rfam family "Bacterial small subunit ribosomal RNA", at positions 28 to 416 of the family's 1533-position model. The record is from RNAcentral.